GAUGAACGCUGGCGGCGUGCCUAAUACAUGCAAGUCGAGCGAACAGACGAGGAGCUUGCUCCUCUGACGUUAGCGGCGGACGGGUGAGUAGCACGUGGAUAACCUACCUAUAAGACUGGGAUAACUUCGGGAAACCGGAGCUAAUACCGGAUAAUAUAUUGAACCGCAUGGUUCAAUAGUGAAAGACGGUUUUGCUGUCACUUAUAGAUGGAUCCGCGCCGCAUUAGCUAGUUGGUAAGGUAACGGCUUACCAAGGCAACGAUGCGUAGCCGACCUGAGAGGGUGGUCGGCCACACUGGAACUGAGACACGGUCCAGACUCCUACGGGAGGCAGCCGUAGGGAAUCUUCCGCAAUGGGCGAAAGCUUGACGGAGCAACGCCGCGUGAGUGAUGAAGGUCUUCGGAUCGUAAAACUCUGUUAUUAGGGAAGAACAAAUGUGUAAGUAACUAUGCACGUCUUGACGGUACCUAAUCAGAAAGCCACGGCUAACUACGUG
Molecule: ribosomal RNA, 497 nt
Filed under: uncultured bacterium
Lineage: Bacteria
Description: partial 16S ribosomal RNA
Rfam family: Bacterial small subunit ribosomal RNA
Source: RNAcentral